AUACGUAGGGGGCGAGCGUUAUCCGGAAUUAUUGGGCGUAAAGCGCGCGCAGGCGGCCGAUUAAGUCAGGUGUGAAAGGCUGCGGCUCAACCGCAGAGCGGCACCUGAAACUGGUCGGCUUGAGUGCAGGAGAGGGGAGCGGAAUUCCCGGUGUAGCGGUGGAAUGCGUAGAGAUCGGGAGGAACACCAGUGGCGAAGGCGGCUCUCUGGCCUGUAACUGACGCUGAGGCGCGAAAGCGUGGGGAGCAAACAGGAUUAGAUACCCUGGUAGUCCACGCCGUAAACGAUGAGUGCUAGGUGUUGGGGGGGCUACGCCCCUCAGUGCCGAAGGUAACCCAUUAAGCACUCCGCCUGGGGAGUACGGCCGCAAGGCUGAA
This 377-nucleotide ribosomal RNA is filed under the name uncultured bacterium. RNAcentral's name for it is "bacterial SSU rRNA". It matches the Rfam family "Bacterial small subunit ribosomal RNA", at positions 523 to 898 of the family's 1533-position model. The record is from RNAcentral.